This 1906-nucleotide long non-coding RNA is filed under the name Sus scrofa (pig). RNAcentral's name for it is "lncRNA (ENSSSCG00055011566.1)". The record is from RNAcentral. Lineage: Eukaryota; Metazoa; Chordata; Mammalia; Artiodactyla; Suidae.
GGAACCAGCCUCCCCCAAGAAUCGUGCAUAUAUACACAUCCACACGCCAGCCCAAUGCCACCCACGUGGGACCAUUGAUUUCACUACCUCCAGGCUUUCUCAGUUUGAUGAUUUGGCGGUUCUGGAACUGUUCCGAGAGGAGUCAAGACUCACUCUGCCAGCCCCAGCUGUUCAAAGCUCAGCCCAAUCUGUUCCGUACAGUUGGCUGUAUUAUAACAAUAAUGCAGCUACAGUUCACCUUCAUUUGCUGCAAAGAUCAUUAACUAUCCCUCAGAGAGACGCAGCAUUAAAGAAAGAGCGCCCGAGGCAUAAUAAACGGAGGUCUCUGGGUAGCACAGUUCCCCAAAAGGUAAGAGGAUGCCAGCCAGGCCACCUGACAGUUUCCACAGUCAGAGAGAAGGAGAGAAAACAAGGGCAGGAGGGACGGAAAAUAAGAGAAAAAAGAAAAGCAAGAACGUGCCUGGCAAACAUGUAUGCUCAUGUGAAGAGAAAAUAAAGAGGGGAAAAAAUGUUUGAAAUAAUGACAGCAGGACAUUUAAAGUAAAAUCACAGUGGAGACAUGAUUCUACCUGUCUGGCAGCUCUAACAUUCUAAUACAGAGGGAGAAGGAAAUUUGGAGGGUAGAUUGAGAACAGAACAAGUGACUUACUGUCCUGUACAGAAAGAAUGCAAUAUUCUGGACAAGUUCAGCAAAAGAGAAGAUGGCAAAUUGAGUGUGACCUGUCUUUAAAUUGUGUAUCUGACCUCCUGUGCAUAAAAUGGAAUUAAAGUGUAGAAGGGGGCGUGUUCUGUCAUCUGAUUCAUGCACUGAGUUCCAGUUUUACGGGAGCCACAUUUGAACCUUAUUCACCAAGAAGCCAGCCCUCUGAAAGCGCCCAGAGGUAAGGGCGUCCCCUUCAAAGAAAGUACUGCAUGACGUAUAAAUACCCGGAAGCUCCUUGGUGGAUAAGGAGAGCACCAAAAUCGAUACCUGUUCUAAGCCUCCCCAGUGCAGGGGCCCAACUUCCACUCGACACCACAGAGACACAACGACAGAGGAAUUCAUUCACUACACAAGGUCCUGGGAGCCGGGGACAUGGACUGGAGAAGGGCACGUAUCCUCAGAGAAGAAGGAAAUAUUCCAAAGGCAAUUUUAUUUCAACAGGCUCUUGGAGCAAAAACGUUCUCCUCUUAGGUGAACAGAAUACAGAAUAUGAAGCUGGUAACCUAAUUUAUGAAACUGUCCAUGUGUCACUUAAAAGAAAAACAUAGAUCUCAUUUUGUUACCAUCCAAGCUGCUCCCCAAAUCUAACCCCACAGCUGCUUUUGUGUUGACAGGACCUGUCCUCAAGGGGUGGAGGGGACAGCAGGCUAUUCAUCUCUGGUUUUAAAACAGAGAAAAACGAGGGGCUGGGGGACUGGAUCAUUUCCACUGUAACCAGGUCAACUGAGGAAAUCUUUCCUAGCCAAUGCACUUAGACCCACUGGAAUGUAUUUAAAACCAAAACCCUAUCCCAGAAGGAAAACCUGAAGACAAUAGCAAUAUUCAGGAAUGGACCCUGAAAGUAUUUUCGUGUUUGGGCAAAAUUCUAGAUUUUACUAAAUCCACCCAUGAUGCUAUCAGAGAUCUCAUCCUAAAGGCAGUUAUAUCACAAUUCCUCAAGAUUUCUUUCCGCAGAGUGCUUAUUUCUGAUCAAAGGGGUAAAGCUGAGAAAAAAGAAUGUGUGGAUGGAGCUGGGAGAUGACAAGCAGGAGGCAUGGGGAGGCUCCCGCAAGACCCACAUCCGGAUCCACAGUUCAGUGGUUCACUUUUUAACAUGAUAGAUCAGGCAUGCACUCUUCUACUCGUAAAACUAAAUUUACUUAUUAUCCAACACUGCAGUGUUUAUUAGAUUUAUUGAAUAAAUGAUACAAAUGUAAAUCACAA